RNAcentral lists this ribosomal RNA (795 nucleotides) under uncultured bacterium. Its description in RNAcentral is "bacterial SSU rRNA". It matches the Rfam family "Bacterial small subunit ribosomal RNA", at positions 8 to 798 of the family's 1533-position model. The record is from RNAcentral.
AGAGUUUGAUCAUGGCUCAGAUUGAACGCUGGCGGCAGGCCUAACACAUGCAAGUCGAGCGGAUGAAGGGAGCUUGCUCCCUGAUUUAGCGGCGGACGGGUGAGUAAUGCCUAGGAAUCUGCCUGGUAGUGGGGGAUAACGUCCGGAAACGGGCGCUAAUACCGCAUACGUCCUGAGGGAGAAAGUGGGGGAUCUUCGGACCUCACGCUAUCAGAUGAGCCUAGGUCGGAUUAGCUAGUUGGUGGGGUAAAGGCCUACCAAGGCGACGAUCCGUAACUGGUCUGAGAGGAUGAUCAGUCACACUGGGACUGAGACACGGUCCAGACUCCUACGGGAGGCAGCAGUGGGGAAUAUUGGACAAUGGGCGAAAGCCUGAUCCAGCCAUGCCGCGUGUGUGAAGAAGGUCUUCGGAUUGUAAAGCACUUUAAGUUGGGAGGAAGGGCAGUAAGUUAAUACCUUGCUGUUUUGACGUUACCAACAGAAUAAGCACCGGCUAACUUCAUGCCAGCAGCCGCGGUAAUACGAAGGGUGCAAGCGUUAAUCGGAAUUACUGGGCGUAAAGCGCGCGUAGGUGGUUCAGCAAGUUGGAUGUGAAAUCCCCGGGCUCAACCUGGGAACUGCAUCCAAAACUACUGAGCUAGAGUACGGUAGAGGGUGGUGGAAUUUCCUGUGUAGCGGUGAAAUGCGUAGAUAUAGGAAGGAACACCAGUGGCGAAGGCGACCACCUGGACUGAUACUGACACUGAGGUGCGAAAGCGUGGGGAGCAAACAGGAUUAGAUACCCUGGUAGUCCAA